RNAcentral lists this ribosomal RNA (403 nucleotides) under bacterium. RNAcentral's name for it is "partial 16S ribosomal RNA". It matches the Rfam family "Bacterial small subunit ribosomal RNA", at positions 355 to 776 of the family's 1533-position model. The record is from RNAcentral.
UGGGGAAUAUUGCACAAUGGAGGGAACUCUGAUGCAGCGACGCCGCGUGAACGAAGAAGGCUUUCGAGUCGUAAAGUUCUUUUAUAUGGGAAGAUAAUGACGGUACCAUAAGAAAAAGCCCCGGCUAACUACGUGCCAGCAGCCGCGGUAAUACGUAGGGGGCUAGCGUUUUCCGGAAUCACUGGGCGUAAAGGGUUCGCAGGCGGAAAUGCAAGUCAGGUGUAAAAGGCAGUAGCUUAACUACGGUAAGCAUUUGAAACUGCAUAUCUUGAGAAGAGUAGAGGUAAGUGGAAUUUUUAGUGUAGCGGUGAAAUGCGUAGAUAUUAAAAAGAAUACCGGUGGCGAAGGCGACUUACUGGGCUCAUUCUGACGCUGAGGAACGAAAGCGUGGGUAGCAAACAGG